GGGGUCGUUUUGGAUUCGACGGGUAUUGGUCGAGCUAUGACUGCGUUUAGGGGUUGUGGCCCUUAUAAAUCCACUCAGUCAGAAUAACUGCAAACAAUUCAAACAAAACUUACGCUUUAGCUGCUUAAUAACCAGUUAGCGUAGUCUAGUCGGGGUUCGCCCAUGAUGUCGCCUAGACCACCUUUUAUGGGCUACGGUACCUGCUUCUACUCGGAGUUUAGUACAAGAGACUAAUCGGGUUAGCUGACAAGAAUUGCGAAGUGUAUCCCGCGUACUUGCCAGCGAAAUUUAAAUAGGAUGGCUAUGAACGUAGAUGUUGUAGUGGCGAGAUGCUCGGACGCGGGUUCGAAACCCGCCGGCUCCAUAC
This 367-nucleotide transfer-messenger RNA is filed under the name Periweissella cryptocerci. RNAcentral's name for it is "Standard tmRNA". It matches the Rfam family "transfer-messenger RNA". Rfam says of the family: Bacterial tmRNA, also known as 10Sa RNA or SsrA, is named for its dual tRNA and mRNA-like properties. Lineage: Bacteria; Bacillati; Bacillota; Bacilli; Lactobacillales; Lactobacillaceae. The record is from Rfam by way of RNAcentral.